UGCAAGUCGUACGAGAGUUUCUAACUCAAGUGGCGGACGGGUGAGUAACACGUGAGAAUUUGCCUUUAGGAGGGGGAUAACAGUUGGAAACGAUUGCUAAUACCCCAUAUGCUUCCGAGUGAAAUGGAUUUAUCUGCCUAAAGAAAAGCUCGCGGCUGAUUAGCUUGUUGGUAAGGUAAUGGCUUACCAAGGCGACGAUCAGUAUCUGGUUUGAGAGGACGAUCAGACACACUGGAACUGAGACACGGUCCAGACUCCUACGGGAGGCAGCAGUGGGGAAUUUUCCGCAAUGGGCGAAAGCCUGACGGAGCAAUACCGCGUGAGGGAAGACGGCCUAUGGGUUGUAAACCUCUUUUUUCAGGGAGGAAAAAAUGACGUGUACCUGAAGAAUAAGCAUCGGCUAACUCCGUGCCAGCAGCCGCGGUAAGACGGAGGAUGCAAGUGUUAUCCGGAAUCACUGGGCGUAAAGCGUCUGUAGGUGGUCUAAUAAGUCAACUGUUAAAUCUUGAGGCUUAACUUCAAAACUGCAGUCGAAACUAUUAGACUAGAGUAUAGUAGGGGUAAAGGGAAUUUCCAGUGGAGCGGUGAAAUGCGUAGAUAUUGGAAAGAACACCGAUGGCGAAG
Molecule: ribosomal RNA, 624 nt
Filed under: uncultured bacterium
Lineage: Bacteria
Description: bacterial SSU rRNA
Rfam family: Bacterial small subunit ribosomal RNA
Source: RNAcentral